UACGUAGGUGGCAAGCGUUGUCCGGAUUUACUGGGCGUAAAGAGCGCGCAGGCGGUCGUUCAAGUCGCGUGUGAAAGCCCCCGGCUCAACUGGGGAGGGUCACGCGAUACUGAUCGACUCGAAGGCAGGAGAGGGUAGGUGGAAUUCCCGGUGUAGUGGUGAAAUGCGCAGAUAUCAGGAGGAACACCGGUGGCGAAGGCGGGUCUCUGGGCCGAUACUGACGCUGAGGAGCGAAAGCGUGGGGAGCGAACAGG
Molecule: ribosomal RNA, 254 nt
Filed under: uncultured bacterium
Lineage: Bacteria
Description: partial 16S ribosomal RNA
Rfam family: Bacterial small subunit ribosomal RNA
Source: RNAcentral